GACGAACGCUGGCGGCGUGCUUAACACAUGCAAGUCGAACGCUGAAGCUUGGUGCUUGCACUGGGUGGAUGAGUGGCGAACGGGUGAGUAAUACGUGAGUAACCUGCCCUUGACUCUGGGAUAAGCCUGGGAAACUGGGUCUAAUACUGGAUAUGACAUGCCACUGCAUGGUGGUGUGUGGAAAGGGUUUUACUGGUUUUGGAUGGGCUCACGGCCUAUCGGCUUGUUGGUGGGGUAAUGGCCUACCAAGGCGACGACGGGUAGCCGGCCUGAGAGGGUGACCGGCCACACUGGGACUGAGGCACGGCCCAGACUCCUACGAGAGGCAGCAGUGGGGAAUAUUGCACAAUGGGCGGAAGCCUGAUGCAGCGACGCCGCGUGAGGGAUGACGGCCUUCGGGUUGUAAACCUCUUUCAGCACGGAAGAAGCGAGAGUGACGGUACGUGCAGAAGAAGCGCCGGCUAACUACGUG
Molecule: ribosomal RNA, 472 nt
Filed under: uncultured bacterium
Lineage: Bacteria
Description: partial 16S ribosomal RNA
Rfam family: Bacterial small subunit ribosomal RNA
Source: RNAcentral